This 783-nucleotide long non-coding RNA is filed under the name Nicotiana benthamiana. RNAcentral describes it as "long non-coding RNA (NBEN_LNC010425)". Lineage: Eukaryota; Viridiplantae; Streptophyta; Magnoliopsida; Solanales; Solanaceae. The record is from RNAcentral.
GAAGAUGAAGCUCAGCCAACAAUUUUCAGCAAUAAUCAGCAGAGAAAAUCAGCAAACUCCAAAUACCGUAAUUGGAAAAAAAAAAUGGCAACAAAAGCAAAAGGAAGAACAUCACAAAACAGUCAAACCAGCUUUAAUUUUUUUUUUUUUUUGUUUUACGGAUUUCGUCUCUGUUUUGAGAGUUUAGGAUCGAAAGAGAAGAAUGAAGAAGGGUCGCUACUCAGUCAAAGGCUACUCAGUCAAAGAAGUGAGGGGUUUUGUUUUGAUAGUGAGAUGAGGAGCUCUCAUUUUCUUUUGCUCGUGCCGCAAGCGCAGCUAUCUUCUGAACAAGGAGGGUCUUCCCUCUUUUGUUAUAUGGUCUAGGUCUAAGUUUUUUAAGGGAUUUUUAUAUUUCUAUACUCUAUAAGAAAUAUUUUUACCCUUGAUUUAAUUACAAACACGUAUAUCAAAUUACUAAUUAUAUACGAUACUUAAUUAAGAAUCUAAUUAAUCGACAGAUUUUACUCUCUAAUUAAAAGUAUUCAUAUAUUCCAUGUUUCUCUCUCCCCUUAAUUCCUACAUUUCUUUCUCCUAAUCCCAGCGUCGUUUUCCCCCUCACAUUUCUUUCUCUUCUCCAUUCCUUCUUCUUCUCAAAAAAUACAGAGAUGAGACUCAUUGAGUAUAAUCAAAUUUUUAGCCAAAGAGAUUCAAUAUGAAACACAGUGUUUCGGUUAUUGUAAUUUCUAGUAAUUGUCAGAUAUUAUUUUAAAUUUUGACAACUACGAGAUCAAGAGUAGAUGUAUG